Non-coding RNA from Triticum aestivum (bread wheat), 135 nucleotides. Lineage: Eukaryota; Viridiplantae; Streptophyta; Magnoliopsida; Poales; Poaceae. The record is from Rfam.
GUGCUACUCUCUCCGUUUCAAAUUACUUGACUCUCACUUGUUUAGAUAUGAAUGUAUCUAUACUUGUUUAGUGUCUAGAUAUAUCUAUAUCUAAACAAAUGAAAGUCAAGUAAUUUGAAACAGAGGGAGUAGCUA